RNAcentral lists this ribosomal RNA (468 nucleotides) under uncultured bacterium. RNAcentral's name for it is "partial 16S ribosomal RNA". It matches the Rfam family "Bacterial small subunit ribosomal RNA", at positions 28 to 507 of the family's 1533-position model. The record is from RNAcentral.
GACGAACGCUGGCGGCGUGCUUAACACAUGCAAGUCGAACGGAAAGGCCCUGCUUUUGUGGGGUGCUCGAGUGGCGAACGGGUGAGUAACACGUGAGUAACCUGCCCUUGACUUUGGGAUAACUUCAGGACACUGGGGCUAAUACCGGAUAGGAGCUCCUGCUGCAUGGUGGGGGUUGGAAAGUUUCGGCGGUUGGGGAUGGACUCGCGGCUUAUCAGCUUGUUGGUGGGGUAGUGGCUUACCAAGGCUUUGACGGGUAGCCGGCCUGAGGGGGUGACCGGCCACAUUGGGACUGAGAUACGGCCCAGACUCCUACGGGAGGCAGCAGUGGGGAAUAUUGCACAAUGGGCGGAAGCCGGAUGCAGCAACGCCGCGGGCGGGAUGACGGCCUUCGGGUUGUAAACCGCUUUCGCCGGUGACGAAGCGUGAGUGACGGUAAUGGGUAAAGAAGCACCGGCUAACUACGUG